GAAAUACCCUAGUUGGUAAGACGCCGCGCUCAUAACCGGAAGGUUGUGGGUUCGAGUCCCGCCGA
Molecule: transfer RNA, 65 nt
Filed under: Polarella glacialis
Lineage: Eukaryota; Dinophyceae; Suessiales; Suessiaceae
Source: RNAcentral